CACCGGCGGCCCGAGUGGUGAUCGUGAUUAUUGGGUCUAAAGGGUCCGUAGCCGGUUUGGUCAGUCCUCCGGGAAAUCUGACAGCUUAACUGUUAGGCUUUCGGAGGAUACUGCCAGACUUGGAACCGGGAGAGGUAAGAGGUACUACAGGGGUAGGAGUGAAAUCUUGUAAUCCCUGUGGGACCACCUGUGGCGAAGGCGUCUUACCAGAACGGGUUCGACGGUGAGGGACGAAAGCUGGGGGCACGAACCGG
RNAcentral lists this ribosomal RNA (254 nucleotides) under uncultured archaeon. Its description in RNAcentral is "partial 16S ribosomal RNA". It matches the Rfam family "Archaeal small subunit ribosomal RNA", at positions 474 to 727 of the family's 1478-position model. The record is from RNAcentral.